GUCUAGCGGCGGACGGGUGAGUAACGCGUGAGCAACCUGUCCCUUACAGGGGGAUAACACAGCGAAAGUUGUACUAAUACCGCAUAAGACCACGGGGAGGACAUCCUUCAGGAGUCGAAGGAGGAAUCCGGUAAGGGGUGGGCUCGCGUCCGAUUAGAUAGUUGGUGAGGUAACGGCCCACCAAGUCGACGAUCGGUAGCCGACCUGAGAGGGUGAUCGGCCACAUUGGGACUGAGACACGGCCCAAACUCCUACGGGAGGCAGCAGUGGGGAAUAUUGGGCAAUAGGGGGGAAACCCUGACCCAGCAACGCCGCGUGAGGGAAGAAGGUUUUCGGAUCGUAAACCUCUGUCCUUGGUGAAGAGGAAGAGACGGUAGCCAAGGAGGAAGCCCCGGCUAACUACGUGCCAGCCGCUGC
This 417-nucleotide ribosomal RNA is filed under the name uncultured bacterium. RNAcentral describes it as "bacterial SSU rRNA". It matches the Rfam family "Bacterial small subunit ribosomal RNA", at positions 90 to 518 of the family's 1533-position model. The record is from RNAcentral.